This 468-nucleotide ribosomal RNA is filed under the name uncultured bacterium. Its description in RNAcentral is "partial 16S ribosomal RNA". It matches the Rfam family "Bacterial small subunit ribosomal RNA", at positions 28 to 507 of the family's 1533-position model. The record is from RNAcentral.
GACGAACGCUGGCGGCGUGCUUAACACAUGCAAGUCGAACGGAGAGGCCCUGCUUUUCUGUGGUGCUCGAGUGGCGAACGGGUGAGUAACACGUGAGUAACCUGCCCUUGACUUUGGGAUAACUUCAGGAAACUGUGGCUAAUACCGGAUAGGAGCUCCUGCUGCAUGGUGGUGGCUUGAAAGUUUCGGCGGUUUGGGAUGGACUCGCGGCUUAGCAGCUUGUUGGUGGGGUAGUGGCUUACCAAGGCUUUGACGGGUAGCCGGCCUGAGAGGGUGACAGGCCACAUUGGGAAUGGGAUACCGCCAAGACUGCUACGGCAGGCAUGAGUGGGGGAUAUUGCACGAUGGGCGGAAGGCUGGUACAGGAACGCCGGGUGGGGAAUGACGGCUGUGGGGUAGGAAAGCGCGUGCGCCUGUGAAGAAGAGUCAGUGACGGUAAUGUAUAAAGAAGGAACGGCUAACUACGUG